AGGGCUGCGGUAAUUUGACCGUGCGAAGGUAGCAUAAUAAAUAGUCUUUUAAUUGAAGGCUUGAAUGAACGGUCGGAUGAGGGACAUUCUGUCUCUUUUGUAAAUUUGAAUUUGACUUUUAAGUGAAAAGGCUUAAAUAUUUUAGUGGGACGAAAAGACCCUAUAAAACUUUAUAUUUGCAUUAUAGGCAGACUAAUCAUCAGCUAAAAUUUGCUUAUUUUGUACAUAUUUUGUUGGGGCGACAAAAAUAAAAUUUGUAACUGUUUAAAAAAUUCAAUAAUUGUCAUUAGUUUAUGAUCCUUUAUAGAGAUUAAAAGAUUAAGUUACUUUAGGGAUAACAGCGUAAUUUUCCUUGAAAGUCCGUAUUGACAGGUAUAGUUGCGACCUCGAUGUUGAAUUAAAAUUUUAAAUGGGUGUAGCCGCUCAUUUGUAGGGUCUGUUCGACCUUUAAAUUUUU
RNAcentral lists this ribosomal RNA (457 nucleotides) under Stegopontonia commensalis. Its description in RNAcentral is "partial 16S ribosomal RNA". It matches the Rfam family "Bacterial large subunit ribosomal RNA", at positions 1927 to 2597 of the family's 2925-position model. Lineage: Eukaryota; Metazoa; Arthropoda; Malacostraca; Decapoda; Palaemonidae. The record is from RNAcentral.